This is a long non-coding RNA of Helianthus annuus (common sunflower), 445 nucleotides long. RefSeq lists it as uncharacterized. Lineage: Eukaryota; Viridiplantae; Streptophyta; Magnoliopsida; Asterales; Asteraceae. The transcript is spliced from 2 exons. The record is from RefSeq and is a predicted model, not a curated record.
CCCAAAUCACUCUUAUUAUUUGCAUUCCGGGUUACAUGGCAAAUAAAUCACUUAGCUCCGUAACGAUGAUCUUCAUCUUCAUCAUCGUUUUAUCCCAUCCCAUGCACCCACAAUCCGAUGCAGUUGGCUUAACUUCUCGUCAAUUAUUUCAAAACCACCGUUAUCCACCGUGCUUGUGUUGUCAAACGGAUGCACCACCACCGCCGCAUUGCUACUGUGCAUGCUUUGUGACCGAUUCAAGAAACAAGUCUCCGUGAUAUUGAAUAAAACAUUAGAAAGAUGUUCAAAUGACCGAUCAAGCAUUAAUAUACGUGAGAAAUAUUAUACUGUAUAAGAAAUUAAUACUUCAUUUUAAAGUGAAUGUUGUCUUUUGUUUCGUGGUAUAUUAUUGUCUAAUUCUAUGUUUCUAUUAAAAAUAAAUAAAAUCUUGUUAUUGUAAAAUAAA